Molecule: ribosomal RNA, 492 nt
Filed under: uncultured bacterium
Lineage: Bacteria
Description: partial 16S ribosomal RNA
Rfam family: Bacterial small subunit ribosomal RNA
Source: RNAcentral
AGUGAACGCUGGCGGUAGGCCUAACACAUGCAAGUCGAACGGCAGCACAGUAAGAGCUUGCUCUUACGGGUAGCGAGUGGCGGACGGGUGAGGAAUACAUCGGAAUCUACUUUUUCGUGGGGGAUAACGUAGGGAAACUUACGCUAAUACCGCAUACGACCUACGGGUGAAAGCAGGGGAUCUUCGGACCUUGCGCGAUUGAAUGAGCCGAUGUCGGAUUAGCUAGUUGGCGGGGUAAAGGCCCACCAAGGCGACGAUCCGUAGCUGGUCUGAGAGGAUGAUCAGCCACACUGGAACUGAGACACGGUCCAGACUCCUACGGGAGGCAGCAGUGGGGAAUAUUGGACAAAGGGCGCAAGCCUGAUCCAGCCAUACCGCGUGGAUGAAGAAGGCCUUCGGGUUGUAAAGCCCUUUUGUUGGGAAAGAAAAGCAGCAGGUUAAUACCCCGCUGUUCUGACGGUACCCAAAGAAUAAGCACCGGCUAACUUCGUG